UAAGGAAUAUUGGGCAAUGGACGCAAGUCUGACCCAGCCAUGCCGCGUGAAGGAUGAAUGUCCUAUGGAUUGUAAACUUCUUUUAUGCAGGAAAAAUAUCCCGGUCGUGAACCGGGACUGAUGGUACUGUAUGAAUAAGCAUCGGCUAACUCCGUGCCAGCAGCCGCGGUAAUACGGAGGAUGCAAGCGUUAUCCGGAUUCAUUGGGUUUAAAGGGUGCGCAGGCGGAAUGAUAAGGCAGUGGUGAAAUCUCCCGGCUCAACCGGGAAAAUGCCAUUGAUACUGUCGGUCUUGAGUACAGUUGAAGUGGGGGGAAUGUGUCAUGUAGCGGGGAAAUGCUUAGAUAUGACACAGAACACCGAUAGUGAAGACAGCUCACUAAGCUGUAACUGACGCUCAUGCACGAAAGCGUGGGGAUCAAACA
Molecule: ribosomal RNA, 423 nt
Filed under: uncultured prokaryote
Description: bacterial SSU rRNA
Rfam family: Bacterial small subunit ribosomal RNA
Source: RNAcentral